Long non-coding RNA from Folsomia candida, 1111 nucleotides. RefSeq lists it as uncharacterized. The record is from RefSeq and is a predicted model, not a curated record. The transcript has 3 exons. Lineage: Eukaryota; Metazoa; Arthropoda; Collembola; Entomobryomorpha; Isotomidae.
UGGCGUUUAAAUUAUUCAAUUUUUAUUUAGAAAUCAUACGAAAUUUAAAAGCCAUUUAAACGCCAAAAUAAAAAUAACUGGUGUCAGAGAAUUCGGCUCAUUCGGGUCAUGCACAUCAUGUUUCACGACAUAACAAUUUAUAAUCGUCUCAUCUCAACUAAAACUCUUAUAUGUAUAUAUAUAUUAAUAUAACCAGCAGCAGUUCAGCUGGCCCAAGAUACAAGAGGACCAUAAAUUUUAAAUAUGGUUUUUCUUGAAAAAUUUCGAAAAUGUUGCUCAGAAAAAUAUACCAGGUUGGAUAUCGUCCCACCCACUUUCUCUUCGCCACUUUUCCUCCGCGCUAUAUCCACCCCAUUUUUCGCCAUGCGGACCAAGUCGCUCUUCAGGAGGCGAAUGACUUCGAGCGCCACAUUUUCCUCCCAGUCCGCCCGGCGAAUAGUAGUCAAACCUCGUCCACUUUUUACGACCAAAGUAUUCGUCGCCAAAUUUACUAACCACAUUAUGUGAAAAGGGAACAAAAUCUUGGCCAGGGGACUGCUCGAAAAUGGCAAAGUAAUCAAGCGAAAGCAGGAUCUCCACCGAGUUUGUGAAGCUAACCGAGCCUACGCACAUUAUCGAUGGGAUUAAAAACAACGAUGUUAAUUGUGUAGUUUUAAUAGUAAUAAUUAAGUUUAUAAUAAUUAGUUUAUAUAACACACGUGAUCUAAAUAAUGUUAUCUUGUCAUUUAAAAUAAUUCACACCGUAAACUGUGUAAAGAUGUGUUCACUCUUUCUUGCUAACCUACGCCAUAGUUAAACUAUAGCAUUGGCGCAAGUUGCUAAAAUCAUGUUAAAAUUUGUGAAAUUGUUUUUUCAUAGAAUGAGACUACUAAUAAGUUUGUAGUGAAUUCCGUUUUCCUUCGUAAUCUUUGCAAAUUUGAAAGUUUGAAGGUUUGCAAGUUUACUAAUUUUGCAGAGUUUACAGUUUGCCUACAGUUUACUUAAUAAUUAUGUACUUGUUUAGUAUGACUAAAAUUGGGAUAAUCAUUACGUAAUUUUUAUAGAUUAUACAGAUAUUUCUAUUCGAAAUAAAAUCUCGUAAUUUAUAAUAAAUACAUACGUUUACGGUAAA